RNAcentral lists this ribosomal RNA (407 nucleotides) under Bacillus sp. Iso-77. RNAcentral's name for it is "bacterial SSU rRNA". It matches the Rfam family "Bacterial small subunit ribosomal RNA", at positions 97 to 492 of the family's 1533-position model. Lineage: Bacteria; Bacillati; Bacillota; Bacilli; Caryophanales; Bacillaceae. The record is from RNAcentral.
GGCGGACGGGUGAGUAACACGUGGGUACCUGCCUGUAAGACUGGGAUAACUCCGGGAACCGGGGCUAAUACCGGAUGGUUGUUUGAACCGCAUGGUUCAACAUAAAAGGUGGCUUCGGCUACCACUUACAGAUGGACCCGCGGCGCAUUAGCUAGUUGGUGAGGUAACGGCUCACCAAGGCGACGAUGCGUAGCCGACCUGAGAGGGUGAUCGGCCACACUGGGACUGAGACACGGCCCAGACUCCUACGGGAGGCAGCAGUAGGGAAUCUUCCGCAAUGGACGAAAGUCUGACGGAGCAACGCCGCGUGAGUGAUGAAGGUUUUCGGAUCGUAAAGCUCUGUUGUUAGGGAAGAACAAGUACCGUUCGAAUAGGGCGGUACCUUGACGGUACCUAACCAGAAAGCC